This 497-nucleotide ribosomal RNA is filed under the name uncultured bacterium. Its description in RNAcentral is "partial 16S ribosomal RNA". It matches the Rfam family "Bacterial small subunit ribosomal RNA", at positions 28 to 507 of the family's 1533-position model. The record is from RNAcentral.
GAUGAACGCUGGCGGCGUGCCUAAUACAUGCAAGUCGAGCGAACGGACGAGAAGCUUGCUUCUCUGAUGUUAGCGGCGGGCGGGUGAGUAACACGUGGAUAACCUACCUAUAAGACUGGGAUAACUUCGGGAAACCGUAGCUAAUACCGGAUAAUAUUUUGAACCGCAUGGUUCAAAAGUGAAAGACGGUCUUGCUGUCACUUAUAGAUGGAUCCGCGCUGCAUUAGCUAGUUGGUAAGGUAACGGCUUACCAAGGCAACGAUGCAUAGCCGACCUGAGAGGGUGAUCGGCCACACUGGAACUGAGACACGGUCCAGACUCCUACGGGAGGCAGCAGUAGGGAAUCUUCCGCAAAGGGCGAAAGCCUGACGGAGCAACGCCGCGUGAGUGAUGAAGGUCUUCGGAUCGUAAAACUCUGUUAUUAGGGAAGAACAUAUGUGUAAGUAACUGUGCACAUCUUGACGGUACCUAAUCAGAAAGCCACGGCUAACUACGUG